Molecule: long non-coding RNA, 243 nt
Filed under: Ananas comosus (pineapple)
Lineage: Eukaryota; Viridiplantae; Streptophyta; Magnoliopsida; Poales; Bromeliaceae
Description: long non-coding RNA (ACOM_LNC041969)
Source: RNAcentral
GCAGACGGUCCCGGGCUUGGGUGCACUUGGAGCCCCCUCCCCACUUUGGGCUUGAAAGGUGAGUCAUUGGCGAGCCCUAGGGCCUCGUCACAGAUUGGGUAAAUGGAAAGUUAAAGGUUUAAAAAUGUCAUUGAACAUUACUAUUCGAACAUGGAUCGAAUUUGCUAGCAUGGUAGCCAACCUUUAAUUAUAUGAUGCAUGCAUUCAUCUUCAUGAUUAUGGGCAUAGUAGCAUAGUUUUCCU